GAAAGUAAACAAGGGCGCAUGGAGGAUGCCUAGGCUCUCGGAGGCGAAGAAGGACGUGAUAAGCUGCGAAAAGUUACGGUAAGGCGCAAAUAGCCCUAGACCCGUAAAUAUCCGAAUGGGGCAACCCGGCCAGCAAUGGCCAUACCGCCAAGCGGUAAGCCAACGCGGGGAACUGAAACAUCUAAGUACCCGCAGGAAAAGAAAAUAACAAUGAUUCCGCCAGUAGUGGCGAGCGAACGCGGAACAGCCCAAACCACUCGUGUUACGGCACGGGUGGGGUAGAAGGAUCCACGAUACGGCAAGAAAUAAGUUAGCGGAAUACGAUGGAAAUCGUAGCCAAAGACGGUGACAGCCCGGUACGCGAAAACGGACAGAAGCCCAGUGGACACCUGAGUAACCCAGGACACGAGAAAUCCGGGGCGAAUCAGCGGGGCCCAUCCCGUAAGGCUAAAUACUCCCGAGAGACCGAUAGCGAACCAGUACUGUGAAGGAAAGGUGAAAAGAACCUCGAACAGAGGAGUGAAAAAGACCCUGAAACCAUGCGCCUACAAGCGGUCGGAGCAUGUUAAAAUGUGACGGCGUGCCUUUUGCAUAAUGAACCUACGAGUUACUCUCGCUGGCAAGGUUAAGCGAUUCAGUCGCGCAGCCGAAGCGAAAGCAAGUCCGAACAAGGCGUACAGUCAGCGGGAGUAGACGCGAAACCAAGUGAUCUACCCUUGGUCAGGUUGAAGGUUGGGUAACACCAACUGGAGGACCGCACCGAUAAGCGUUGAAAAGCUUACGGAUGAACUGAGGGUAGGAGUGAAAGGCCAAUCAAACUUGGAGAUAGCUCGUACUCCCCGAAAUGCAUUUAGGUGCAGCCUCGAAGCAGAGUGAUAGAGGUAGAGCGACUGAUAAGAUGCGAGGGCUUCACCGCCUAUCAAGUCUUGACAAACUCCGAAUACUAUCACUUGAUCUUUGGGAGUGAGGGCAUGGGUGCUAAGGUCCAUGUCCGAAAGAGGAACAACUCAGACCACCGGCUAAGGUCCCGAAAUAAGGGCUAAGUUGAACAAACGAAGUAAAACUGCAAAGACAGCUAGGAUGUUGGCUUGGAAGCAGCCAUUCAUUUAAAGAGUGCGUAACAGCUCACUAGUCGAGGAGUUUUGCAUGGAUAAUAAUCGGGCAUAAGCCCUUUACCGAAGCUGUGGAUGUCGUAAGACAUGGUAGGGGAGCAUUCCGGCGGCGACGAAGGCCGUCCUCGAGGACGACUGGAGCUUUCGGAAAAGCAAAUGUAGGUAUAAGUAACGAUAAAGGGGGCGCGAAACCCCCUCGCCAUAAGACUAAGGAUUCCUGAUCAACGCUAAUCGGAUCAGGGUAAGUCGGGCCCUAAGGCGCAGCCGAACGGCGCAGCCGAUGGAAGAAACGGUAAAAAUUCCGUUACUGGAUAUAGGAGCGAUGUGGAGACGGAGAAGUGACACACCCGCCUGCCGACGGAAGCGCAGGUUAAAGGAAGUAGGUAAACGCCGGGCAGGCAAAUCCGCCUGGCGUGCCGAAGCUGACAGUAUCGAGAGCCCCCGGGCAAUCGAAUAGCGGUGGUAAUCAGGCUCCCAAGAAAAUCCGCUAAGCAUAUUCUAUAUUCACCCGUACCCCAAACGGACACACGUAGUCGGGUAGAAUAUACCAAGGCGCUCGAAAGACUCACGGUUAAGGAACUAGGCAAAUUGACCCUGUAACCUCGGGAAAAAGGGUCCCCAGUAAGAUGGGGCGCAGAGAAUAGGUCCAGGCAACUGUUUAACAAAAACACAGGGCUGUGCAAAAUUUCAAGAUGAAGUAUACAGCCUGACACCUGCCCGGUGCCGGAAGGUUAAGAGGAGAGCUUAUCGCAAGAGAAGGCUUGAAUUGAAGCCCCGGUAAACGGCGGCCGUAACUAUAACGGUCCUAAGGUAGCGAAAUUCCUUGUCGGGUAAGUUCCGACCUGCACGAAUGG
RNAcentral lists this ribosomal RNA (1966 nucleotides) under human gut metagenome. Its description in RNAcentral is "bacterial LSU rRNA". It matches the Rfam family "Bacterial large subunit ribosomal RNA", at positions 1 to 1999 of the family's 2925-position model. The record is from RNAcentral.